This 767-nucleotide long non-coding RNA is filed under the name Apteryx haastii (Great spotted kiwi). RNAcentral describes it as "lncRNA (ENSAHAG00000006998.1)". The record is from RNAcentral. Lineage: Eukaryota; Metazoa; Chordata; Aves; Apterygiformes; Apterygidae.
CAGCCCCAGGUUUCAGCAAGAGCCCGGUGACUCCUUUCCAUCUCUGCCCUGCGAGGGAGGCAGUCGGCACAGAGGAACUGUGCCGAGAGGCAUCCGGGCACCGCAUCGCGGCAGAGGAAGCCUGUUGGCAGCCGGGACCCGGCGCUUUCAGAAAGGGAUGCAGGGAUGACAGCUGCCUCUCAUCUGGGACGUGUUGGAAAAGAAGCGAGUAGAAGUUAAGCUGGCAAGUGUAGGAACUUCUUCUGGUGGGAGGAAUGCCAGCGGAUCGCCCAGGAAGACGCGAAGGACGGCUUUGUGCCAGCCCUCCACGGGGUUUCUGCUAUGUAACGCCGCCUCUAGCAACAAGCUGGAGAGGAGCUCGAGACACCUGGGUCGGAGAUGCCCUGCGAGCUUUGCCCUUGCAGACAGGGGACCUCGRCUGGCUCCCGGGGCUGCGUCAGCAGGGCAGAACCGAACUUGCCUGUGUCGUCCCCAAAGCGGUUUCAGACAGGACUGGGCAGCUGAACUGCAGCAGGGAGGCACCGGGAGAGCGGCUGGACCGGGGGCCGUGCGGGGACUGCAGCCCGGUAAGGGGRGAAGYGGGGACUCCCCCUCUGCUCUGCCCUGGCCCGUCCCUCGCUCGCAGCCCCCACGGAGGAGCUGGGGUCACUCGCUUGCUCAGAAAGCUGAUCAGCAGCGCGGAGCAGCGCCGCGUUGGGGAGCUGGCGCCCCGGGUCGCUCCCGCCCCAUCCAAGGGGGUAAUUCCCACCCCCAGCGAAACCUGGGAG